GUGCACCAGUCGCGAAACCUCCACAAUUUGCGCAAGCAUGAUGGGGCCACUCCGAGUGCCAUCCGCUGAGGAUGGCUUUUCUCUGCUGUAAGAAGGCAGAGGAAUAAGGAGAGGGCAAGUCUGGUGUCAGCCGCCGCGGUAAUACCAGCUCUCCGAGUGGUAGGGAUGAUUAUUGGGCUUAAAGCGUCCGUAGCUGGCCUUUCAAGUCUCUUGUUAAAUCCAGCGAUUCAAUCGUUGGACUGCGGGAGAUACUGUUAGGCUAGGGGGCGGGAGAAGCCGACGGUAUUUCCGGGGUAGGGGUAAAAUCCUAUAAUCCCGGGAAGACCACCAGUGGCGUAGGCGGUCGGCUAGCACGCGCUCGACAGUGAGGGACGAAAGCUGGGGUAGCGAACCGGAUUAGAUACCCCCGUAGUCC
Molecule: ribosomal RNA, 415 nt
Filed under: uncultured crenarchaeote
Lineage: Archaea; Thermoproteati; Thermoproteota
Description: partial 16S ribosomal RNA
Rfam family: Archaeal small subunit ribosomal RNA
Source: RNAcentral